GACGAACGCUGGCGGCGUGCUUAACACAUGCAAGUCGAACGGAAAGGCCCGGCGUUUGUGGGGUGCUCGAGUGGCGAACGGGUGAGUAACACGUGAGUAACCUGCCCUUGACUGUGGGAUAACUUCAGGAAACUGGGGCGAAUACCGGAGAGGAUCUCCUGCUGCAUGGGGGGGGUUGGAAAGUUUCGGCGGUUGUGGAUGGACUCGCGGCUUAUCAGCUUGUUGGGGGGGUAGUGGCUUACCAAGGGUUUGACGGGUAGCCGGCCUGAGAGGGUGACCGGCCACAUUGGGCCUGAGAUACGGACCAGAAUCCUACGGGCGGCAGCAGUCGGGAAUAUUGCACAAUGGGCCGACGCCUGAUACAGAAACGCCGCGUGCGGGAUGCCGGCUUUCGGGUUAUAAACCGCUUUCGACUGUGACGAAGCGUGAGUGACGGUAAUGGGUAAAGAAGCACCGGCUAACUACGUG
RNAcentral lists this ribosomal RNA (468 nucleotides) under uncultured bacterium. RNAcentral's name for it is "partial 16S ribosomal RNA". It matches the Rfam family "Bacterial small subunit ribosomal RNA", at positions 28 to 507 of the family's 1533-position model. The record is from RNAcentral.